GACAGAGGUUGCAAACGUUGUUCGGAAUCACUGGGCAUAAAGAGCGCGCAGGCGGUCGUAUAAGUCGAAUGUGAAAGCCCCCGGCUCAACUGGGGAGGGUCAUUCGAUACUGUUCGACUCGAAGGCAGGAGAGGGAAGUGGAAUUCCGGGUGUAGUGGUGAAAUGCGUAGAUAUCCGGAGGAACACCAGUGGCGAAGGCGACUUUCUGGCCUGUUCUUGACGCUGAGGCGCGAAAGCUAGGGGAGCAAACGGG
This 253-nucleotide ribosomal RNA is filed under the name uncultured bacterium. Its description in RNAcentral is "partial 16S ribosomal RNA". It matches the Rfam family "Bacterial small subunit ribosomal RNA", at positions 524 to 776 of the family's 1533-position model. The record is from RNAcentral.